AGAGCGAACGCUGGCGGCAGGCCUAACACAUGCAAGUCGAGCGCCCGUAGCAAUACGGGAGCGGCAGACGGGAUAGUAACACGUGGGAACGCGCCCUUCGGUUCGGAAUAACUCAGGGAAACUUGAGCUAAUACCGAAUACGCCCUUACGGGGAAAGAUUUAUUGCCGAAGGAACGGCCCGCGUCCGAUUAGCUAGUUGGUGAGGUAAUGGCUCACCAAGGCUACGAUCGGUAGCUGGUCUGAGAGGAUGACCAGCAUCACUGGGACUGAGACACGGCCCAGACUCCUACGGGAGGCAGCAGUGGGGAAUAUUGGACAAUGGGCGCAAGCCUGAUCCAGCCAUGCCGCGUGGAUGAUGAAGGUCCUUAGGGUUGUAAAGUCCGUUUUAACGGGGAAGAUAAUGACGGUACCCGUAGAAUAAGCCCCGGCUAACUUCGCGCCAGCAGCCGC
This 450-nucleotide ribosomal RNA is filed under the name uncultured bacterium. Its description in RNAcentral is "SSU rRNA". It matches the Rfam family "Bacterial small subunit ribosomal RNA", at positions 26 to 518 of the family's 1533-position model. The record is from RNAcentral.